This 199-nucleotide ribosomal RNA is filed under the name uncultured prokaryote. RNAcentral describes it as "partial 16S ribosomal RNA". It matches the Rfam family "Bacterial small subunit ribosomal RNA", at positions 525 to 723 of the family's 1533-position model. The record is from RNAcentral.
ACGGAGGGCUCAAGCGUUGUUCGGAUUCAUUGGGCGUAAAGGGCGCGUAGGUGGCCGGGUAAGUCAUGUGUGAAAUCUCGGAGCUUAACUCGGAAACUGCACUUGAUACUGACAUGCUAGAGUACUGGAGAGGAAGGUGGAAUUUACGGUGUAGCAGUGAAAUGCGUAGAUAUCGUGAGGAAGACCGGUGGCGAAGGCG